GUUCCUGCUGAACUGAGCCAG
This 21-nucleotide microRNA is filed under the name Macaca fascicularis (crab-eating macaque). RNAcentral describes it as "microRNA miR-3074-5p". The record is from RNAcentral. Lineage: Eukaryota; Metazoa; Chordata; Mammalia; Primates; Cercopithecidae. RNAcentral also lists the same sequence under 1 other name.